UACGGAAGGCAGCAGUAAGGAAUCUUGCACAAUGGGGGAAACCCUGAUGCAGCAACGCCGCGUGAACGAUGAAGGCCUUAGGGUUGUAAAGUUCUGAUCUGGGGGAAGAAGAAAGUGACGGUACCCCAGGAGAAAGCCCCGGCUAAAUACGUGCCAGCAGCCGCGGUAAU
Molecule: ribosomal RNA, 170 nt
Filed under: uncultured rumen bacterium
Lineage: Bacteria
Description: partial 16S ribosomal RNA
Rfam family: Bacterial small subunit ribosomal RNA
Source: RNAcentral